RNAcentral lists this long non-coding RNA (1019 nucleotides) under Cicer arietinum (chickpea). Its description in RNAcentral is "long non-coding RNA (CARI_LNC002035)". The record is from RNAcentral. Lineage: Eukaryota; Viridiplantae; Streptophyta; Magnoliopsida; Fabales; Fabaceae.
UCAUUAUUUUUAUAAUACCCGAAGUCGCAUUUUUGUGGCUAUAAAAGGGAGUGUAGGAGUAAAGUUCCAACCGCACCCCCUUAUCUUGUUUUUCUUGGAAAGCCAAAGUUCUAUCUACAAAUUCUAAAUACAAUGCCAAGAGCCACACAUGUUAUUACAUGCAAAGGUAUACAUAUCAACCCUCAAAGCAUGUUUAUCACUUCAAUUUUUAUUUUAUGUGAUUUUUUUCUUCUUUCAAAUAGCCUAAUAGUUAAAAACUAUUAAAUUAUUUCAUUUGUAAAUAAUUAAAUAUUUAACGAUAUAAGAGAUCAAUUGUUGAAUGAUUACUAGUUACAUUUAGAAUAAAAGAUAUAUUUGGUGUAUUGAAAAUGAAAGAAAAAAAAUAUAAUUGGUAAAUGUUAUUUCCAAUCUUGUGAGGGUAAAAUAACAUAAAUUAUGUAAUUUCUAUGUAUCUGCUUAGUAAUAAUUAUAUCAUUAAUUUAUCAUUCAUAUAUUGAUGAUUUUUUAUAUAAUAUAUAAUUUUAUUUUCACCGACUAAAAUUCUUAGAUCCGUCAUUGAUUAGACUCAUACAUUUCGAGUGAAAAUUUUUGAAUUUAAAGUCAAACUCAUAUAUAUCAACAUCUUUACAACCAACAAGUGAAUUGUAUUUUUAGAUCUAUCAUUGACUAAACUCAUAUAUUUCGAGUGAGAAAUUUCGAAUUUAAAAUCAAACUCAUAUAUAUAUAUCAACAUCCUUACAAUUAAUAAGUGAAUUGUAUUUAGAAAAUUGUAGUAGAGGAUAAAGUUGUAAAUUAAAUUAUUUAAAACAAUGAAAAAAAGUUAUUUAGAAUCACUUUAAAAGAUUAGAUAUUUUAAAAAUUCCAAUUAUUUAAUUGAAUAACGGAACGAUAAAGUUAUAAAUAAAAUAAGAAAAAAAUUAUUCAAAAGUCCAAACUAGUAUUUCCUUUUUAUUAUAUAGUCUUUAAUCUUUAUACUCAUAAAAAAAUAGAUAUUGUCUUCACUCACAUUUAUAAAUAUA